This 513-nucleotide ribosomal RNA is filed under the name Sarasaeschna kunigamiensis. Its description in RNAcentral is "partial 16S rRNA". It matches the Rfam family "Bacterial large subunit ribosomal RNA", at positions 1830 to 2597 of the family's 2925-position model. The record is from RNAcentral. Lineage: Eukaryota; Metazoa; Arthropoda; Insecta; Odonata; Aeshnidae.
GUCUUCUUGUUAUAUUUAAGAAGUCUGGCCUGCCCAGUGAAAAUAUUUUAACGGCCGCGGUAUAUUGACCGUGCAAAGGUAGCAUAAUCAUUAGUCUUUUAAUAGAGGGCUGGUAUGAAGGGUUUAACGAGGUGUUGACUGUCUCAUUUAAUUUGGAUUUAGAAUUUAAUUUUUUAGUUAAAAAGCUAAAAUUUUAUUGGAAGACGAGAAGACCCUAUAGAGCUUUAUAUUUGUAUUAUUAGUUGGGUGUUGAUUAUUAUUACUUAUUAUUAAUAUUAAAUAUUUUGUUGGGGUGACAAGAAUAUAUAAUUAACUUUUUUAUUUAGUUAACAUUGAUUUAUGAAUAGUGGAUCCAAUCUUAUUGAUUGAUAGAUUAAGUUACCUUAGGGAUAACAGCGUAAUCCUCCUUCAGAGUUCAUAUUUACAGGGGGGCUUGCGACCUCGAUGUUGGAUUAAGAUAAUAAUUAGGUGUAGCCGCUUAAUUAAAUAGGUCUGUUCGACCUUUAAAUUCUU